GCUGUAGCUACUUAAAUGAAUCAGUGGGGAGUGAUAGACAGAAAGGCAACCCAUUCUUCUUCCUGCAGCAGGUAAGAGGUAUUUACUGUCUAUUCCACAGGUCUUAGUGAGGUUUGGGAACAAACCUAGUAGCAGAGAAAGAAUAUUUUAGGAAGCCUUCACCAUACUGCAACAAUAUUGGAUGUCAAAUCUGUGAAUAAAACUAAAACAAUAAAUAAAGCAAACAAACUGCAGCAGAAUGGAAACAAUGACGCAUGUGACAAAUACAUAGCAGAAUGGAAAAAUUAUGCAUUCUUUCAUCCCUACAUACAUUCUCACCAUUUCUUCAGUCCUUUUCUUACCUCUGCAAAGUGGAUUUGCAAAUGUAACCUAUAUACUUCCAAGCAAGGGACUAUGUAAAUGAUACUCUCUUAUCCCAAUUUGCCACGAAUCAAAUGUUUGAGAUCUGUCCCCUGCCUCCCUCUUAAACAAUAUUUACCAAAUAUAAUCAUCAAACUAUAUUGGCUCUAUAUCUAUAUCUAUCUAUCUAUCUAUCUAUCUAUCUAUCAUCUAUCUAUCUAUCUAUCAUCUAUCUAUUUAUCUAUCAUCUAUCUAUUCAGUCUAUGCGUCUCCAGCUGUGGGCAUUAAGUUUCUUCCGUCUUCUCUGAUGUCCCCCUAUGGUUUGGGAAACUAACCCUGGUAUGAAAUUUUCUGAACUAGCAUGUAUAAUCAACACAUUUGCAAGAGCUGAGGUUUAAGAAGGGUUAAGCUGAAAAAUGAAACAGCAGUGAAGAGGCUGCUGGUAUUUUCCAAAUUUGGAAAGAAACACAGUGUGGCUUUUCGUCCUUUUACUUCUGCUUUCAUUGAAGGGGAAUUGCACAAGAAACUAUUCACGUAUAUUUUACUAUAGAUGCAACAUGCAACUCCCAUUGUUCCAGCGAGGUCCUGCAUGGCAUGCUUGAACUUCAUUCAGCACUGCCUCAAACCACAAUGCUUGUGAAACUGGGUAAUUUCCCAGUGUGGAUGCAAUUUUGUCAAAAACGCUAAGCAAAGACGUUUACAUAAAUUUAUUUCAGAAAGGAAAUAGCAGUACUUCAUCACUGAGCAGAUGUUGUUCUCUAGGGGAAGGGAAAUUCUGCUGCCCUUUUUUUCCUGACAACACUUUUUCCUUGUGACAGCAGUAUGAAUGUGGGGUGAUCCAUGUACUAACCACUCUCUUAAUAUAAGGUUACCAGAUUCUUUUCAAUGAAUCAGGGGACACUUUUCUACUUCCUACUAAAUAGAUGGAUUUUGUCAGGGGACUGAUUUGUAAAUCUGGGGACUGUCCCUGGGAAACGGGGACGUAUGGUAAUCUUAUCCUAAUAAGGCAUCCAUAAUAAGAGAAUCAAGCCCGCCCCUGCCUCUGUUGGCUUUCAAUAUAAGGGAGCCUCAACAUGCUGUUUUCAAUUUAGACAUUCUAAGUCCUGCUGUCCACAAGGGUGCUUGUAGUUACCUGAUACACAUUUGGAAAGCUUUCCCUUGAUUAGGUUAUCCACACCUUUUCUUCCCUCCACAUGCACCAGGUGAACAAAGAAGGAAAUUGUGAUUGCGAUCUUGGUACAUGCCAACUCACAACAUCAUUGGUCAGGCAUGAAGGCACACGCACGCACACGCACACACACACACACACCAUUGCCAGGAUGACCUAUAUCUGUCUUCCCCUGUUUCCAAAUGGACACACCGUACACAAUCAAUCUGCAAUUAGCUUUUAUUUUCAGAAUCAAACUCGUUUCCCAAGAAGUGCCUUCAGGGGCAAAAAAAUAUAUGCAAUUGAUCUUGAUUAUGUGUGGGCUACAUAGAAAAAACAAGUACCCAAUCUCCAUUGAUUCUAGAAUAAAAUGUGUGCGUGUGCACCCUUGAAUUAUGGCCUGAUCCCUGACUCCUUUCGGAUGCUACAGGGACACGUGGAUUCUUCCCAAACAUUUUUGCAAAGCCACAACAACCCAACCUGGAACAAAUUACAGUGAGGACAAACUCCCAGUCUCAGCGAGAUUAUACUUUAAUGAGACAAGGCAAGACAGAGGACGCUAGUUCAGCUUGGGGGAAAUAGAUUAUUUCAUAAAGCAUUUGAUGGGGCUGUCCUUAGGUGCUCCGAUUUAUAUUAUUGGAAAGGUUAGUCAGUAAAGACUGGAGGUUUGCUCCAGACAUUUGUUCCCUCUUUCUCUUUGUUUUAAAGCAUGGUUUUGCUGCUGUUGUUUUUCCUUUCCAGUACCCCUAGUAUAGUAAGAUACGCCAGCUCAAGGCCCACGCAAAAUGGGGCAUACUAGAUUUCCUCCAUCAAAUGCCCCAGAGCCUAAUUAGUUAGCUGUGCUCUACAGAUGGUAUUAAUUAAAAAGAGGGCAUUACGUUGAUCAAGGCUACAAUAGUUCCUUGGAUUUAAGCCGCAUUUACCAAGGCACUCUUCCCACCUGCUGUUUGCUGAGCUGUCUUGUACUUCCCAGCCUGCCAAAAAGUUUCCUUUAUUAAGCAUGCAGGUUCUUUUCAGUAGAGCCUGCCCAGGUCAAUGAAAAUCACCCCGUUGGUAUAAGCUGGAGGUAGUUGUUCCUGGAUUCAAGACAGCUGUUCUCAUUCACUUAUGAAAAUACAGUGGUACCUUGGGUUAAGUACUUAAUUCGUUCCGGAGGUCUGUACUUAACCUGAAACUGUUCUUAACCUGAAGCACCACUUUAGCUAAUGGGGCCUCCUGCUGCCGCCACGCCGCCGGAGCACGAUUUCUGUUCUCAACCUGAAGCAAAGUUCUUAACCUGAAGCACUAUUUCUGGGUUAGCAGAGUCUGUAACCUGAAGCGUAUGUAACCCGAGGUACCACUGUAUACACAACAGAGUAAAUAUCCCUUCUCUUUCAAAGCAUGGCACACACUUGUCAGUUUUUACCAGAUUUUGAUAUGUGGUCUUAUCACACCUAGGAGCAUAGCACACCAUAGCCAUACAACCUAAGAACUGUCUUGCUGGGUCAGCACAGGAUUUGUUAAGACCAGGGAUGGUAAACCUGUGGCUUUCUACUUGUUGUUGGACUCUGAUUCUCAUCAGUUCUAGAUGAGCAGUCAGGGAUGAUGAGAGCUGGAAUCCAACAACAUCUAGGCUGCCACAGGUUCCCCACCUAUUCUGUUACCUGGUGGCCAGACAGAUUCUUGUGGAAAUUCAUAAGAAAGGUACAUUGGUGAGGCCAUUGAGUGUUUAGAGGAGGGAGAGACUCCAUCAGGCAAGGGGUCCUUCCACCUGCCUUGCCCCACCCUCCGGCCCUAGGAGUCCUCAUAAGGGAGCUGUCCCUGGAGGAAGAACUGUGAGGGGAGAUACUCCAUCAGGCAAGGCCUCCUUCCCGCUGCCUCGCUCUACCCUCUGCUUCUCAAUAUGUAUUGUAUUGUUUUAUCUACUGUGGCUUGCCGUUGUUUUAUUGAUUAUAGUUUAGAUAUUAUUGUAACUGUUGAGUGGAUUUCUGUUUAACUUUUAUAUGUUAUUAUUAUUUUACACUAUUCUAAUGAUUGUUGAAUGUUACUUUUUUGAUGGAGGUUUCCUAUUUUAAAGUUAUGUUUUAUUAUCACAUUUUUGUAUUGCAUUAGAUGGUUAUAAGAUGUACAUUUUUUGUUUCUUCAGCUUGUAAACCACCUUGAGUAUUGUAAGAUAGAAAGGAGGUAUACAAAUUAAAAAUGAUGAUGAUGAUUUUUCUCAUGUCUUCUCCACUGCUCAGAGGGGUAUAUUGCCUUUCAAGAUGGAGGACAAAUUGAGCUGUUAUGGUGAGCAGCCUUUGAUGGAUUGGUCUCCUAUUAAUUUGUCAAAUUCUUCUAUCUUGAUCCUUGGCCAUCACCACAUCUUAUGGCGACAUCCAGGCUGCAGAAUUGGCAAUUGACCUUGCCAAAAUCAUCCAGGAGAUACAGAGAAUUGGUUUAAACAAUUGAUCAAGACCACUAAGGAAGUAUAUCUGAAUAGGGUCUGUUGCUUCAAAACAGGCAAGCAAAUGAUUGGAAAGAGAUCCAACAGGGAAAAUAAAUGUGCCAGCGUGCUAAAAAAUGUGCUAAAUAUUGCAAGAGAUCUGUGCUAUAAAGAUGGCAUGUGAUGAACUGUGUUUCAAAAGUACUGCAAUUAAUUAGACUUCUUAUGGAU
Non-coding RNA from Podarcis lilfordi (Lilford's wall lizard), 4118 nucleotides. NCBI's taxonomy places the organism in Eukaryota, Metazoa, Chordata, Lepidosauria, Squamata, Lacertidae. The record is from the annotation of a GenBank genome assembly.